CAAGUAUGCCGGCUCACUGUGCUGCAUACAAUUACACACUGCGUCGUACGAUUGAGACAAGGAAACUUGGAAUGACUUUUCAUAGGUUUCCCAGAGACUAUGGGUUGAGGAGGAAUUGGAAGUUUGUCGGCUUAGACCUGGUGUCAUUCCAUCAGUGUUAAACUUCCCGGCUCAUCUUGGAAGAGUACGUGCCAGAAAGACCACGACCAAGCAGCCUUGAGAUCUUAGGCAGCGUCUCCCUCAGACCAAAGAACUACAGACUCUUCACAACCAGCUCAAACUCUUGGUACAGGACCUCACCACACGGGUCAAGAAGGUUUCUGUCUCAUUUCUACUCUGAAGCUCACCUUCUCCUGCUCAAACUGCUGACAAAUGUUUCUGCUGCUCUAAAGUCUGGUCUCCAGAACUUCCUAAAAACUCUCAAAGUCUCUUCUGCUGCAGGUUGCUUUGUAGAACUGUUGCAGAAAACCUCACUAAACCACAUGGAGGGGCCUCAAGAUAGUCGUCCAAAUGAAACCAUACAAAAACCAAACUAGCACAACCCAAACGCUAAAGUCUCCUGCAGCCUACCAGAGAACCUCUGAGAACAGAGAAUCAGGACAGGAACUCUUACCUUCUGGACAACCACCCUUGGUUCACAAACAAGAAUACAGAAUGUGUCUGACCAAAAACCUCUGAAGACUCACUACAGCCAAGAUAAAGACACAACUCAGCUGCACCAAAUCCACUAAUCACUGCACACAUUAGCACCAUGUGCUAACUGUGGCUGAAGAACCUCAUUUACCAAGACAGCUAUCCAGUACAAAGCCCUAAAACACACCAAGAAACACAUUAAAGAUGAUUUUACUGCUGGAAGCUGCAAGCCAACGCCUAAAGAACAAAUUAAAGCAACGGAGCCAAACCCGGUUCACUGGUGAAGAGAAACAGAGGAAAUGUUUGCUGCAGCUAAAUAAAGCAGGAAGACACUGAGCUGCUCAGGUGUUCCUGAUAACACCAAGCAGCCACCUGGACAGCCAAUAGGAACACAGCUUACUGGAAGUCCAGAGGGCUGGGUUAGUGAAGUAAAUUUAGUUUAAAGGUGAAGCAGAAAGUUAACAAAGAAAGAUGAAAACCACAUUCUGAUACCUGAAAUCUCUGAGUUUUCACACAAAGAACACCUGAACAUGUCAAAAUGGUUUCAUAGUAGAACCAUCAUUGUAAAAACAUCAUAGUAUGGUGUGUUGCUCAAAAAACAUUACAACCUGGUUGUCUAGGGUCACCGAGGAGCAACACAAAAACAGGACAAACGCUGGUUUCCAGGGGGUUAGGCAGCUAUUUAUUUGAAAGAGUAAGUUUACAACAACACAACAUGUGAGCAGAAAAAUCACAAAGUCUGUCUUUAGUUCAGCUGAAAAUAUUAGUUUUUGUCUUUUUUAUUGACCAAACUUUUCAGGAAGUAGAUGAAGAAUAAUUAAAGCUCUCAUGUAGAAGUCCAACUUAUU
Long non-coding RNA from Amphiprion ocellaris (clown anemonefish), 1481 nucleotides. NCBI's taxonomy places the organism in Eukaryota, Metazoa, Chordata, Actinopteri, Pomacentridae. The record is from Ensembl.